This 582-nucleotide ribosomal RNA is filed under the name Shewanella sp. Its description in RNAcentral is "bacterial SSU rRNA". It matches the Rfam family "Bacterial small subunit ribosomal RNA", at positions 348 to 923 of the family's 1533-position model. The record is from RNAcentral. Lineage: Bacteria; Pseudomonadati; Pseudomonadota; Gammaproteobacteria; Alteromonadales; Shewanellaceae.
GCAGCAGUGGGGAUAUUGCACAAUGGGGGAAACCCUGAUGCAGCCAUGCCGCGUGUGUGAAGAAGGCCUUCGGGUUGUAAAGCACUUUCAGUAGGGAGGAAAGGUAACAGUUUAAUACGCUGUUACUGUGACGUUACCUACAGAAGAAGGACCGGCUAACUCCGUGCCAGCAGCCGCGGUAAUACGGAGGGUCCGAGCGUUAAUCGGAAUUACUGGGCGUAAAGCGUGCGCAGGCGGUUUGUUAAGCGAGAUGUGAAAGCCCCGGGCUCAACCUGGGAAUUGCAUUUCGAACUGGCGAACUAGAGUCUUGUAGAGGGGGGUAGAAUUCCAGGUGUAGCGGUGAAAUGCGUAGAGAUCUGGAGGAAUACCGGUGGCGAAGGCGGCCCCCUGGACAAAGACUGACGCUCAGGCACGAAAGCGUGGGGAGCAAACAGGAUUAGAUACCCUGGUAGUCCACGCCGUAAACGAUGUCUACUCGGAGUUUGGUGUCUUGAACACUGGGCUCUCAAGCUAACGCAUUAAGUAGACCGCCUGGGGAGUACGGCCGCAAGGUUAAAACUCAAAUGAAUUGACGGGGCCCCC